This 3408-nucleotide ribosomal RNA is filed under the name Triticum aestivum (bread wheat). RNAcentral describes it as "partial small subunit ribosomal RNA". The record is from RNAcentral. Lineage: Eukaryota; Viridiplantae; Streptophyta; Magnoliopsida; Poales; Poaceae.
GCGCCAGUCGCACCGAACCGAAUGGUUUCGCUCCGCUCCGGCUCCGCUCCACUUCGGGUCCCGACCCGACUCAUUCCCAGGACCUGACUCCACUUCGGGUUCGGUUCGGGCUCGGUCGCUUCGCCGAGGAGGAAAAGGAUAAGCGGCCACGGACGCCCACCGCGUCGCACCCUGCACCUCCCGUCCCCCCGACCCGAGCGCCACGGCCGGAGCCCGGAGAAUCCACGGCCGCCCGCCGUCUCGCUCCCAGGAGGCUCCCGUGGCCUGCACGCCCGGCGCCCCGGCGGCAGCCCUGCCCACCGCCGUGCGGCAGCCUGCAGGCGGAGGGCGCAGGCGCUCACCGGCUCACCGUCAACCCACAGCGGCGGAUCUGUCCUCAAGCCGCAGCCGCGGACGCCGAGGUCGUUUGCGCCGGGCAGGGGGUCACGGGGCACGUCGCGGCCUUGUUCCCGCCCCCGACAGCCUCAAUCCCCAACCCUAAGAUCUGUGCUUAGCUGGCGCCUGGUAACAUGACACCAACGGUCCUCAUGGAGUACAGGCCGCAGAUGCAGAUUAAACGGGGCUACGACGAAAUAGCUUACCGGGGCGGCGCGGGGUAUGCAGAGACUGUAGGUGAGUCGGGCAGCCCUGUUCGUGUUGACUCCGAAGAUUCCUCUGCGCCAAAACGCAAGUGCAUCAGCCUUAAUAGCGAUGGCUUUGAUGUGAAGCGAGAGAUCUUUGUCCCGUCUAAGUUGUCGUCGUCCGAGCGGCGCUACCUUCGAAAGAGAUUCCGGGCAGAGCUUGAUUCUGUCCGAUAUCUCCUCAAGAGGCCAGAGUUUUUGGCCAUCAUGCCUGUCACCCGAGCACCUGGUUUCUCAUCGUCAGCUGCCCCACGAGCUAAAAAAGUGCAACGGGGGAGCCAUGUUCUCCGUGGUGCCAAGGGACGCUUCUUGCCGACAAAACCCCGUCCUGAAACGUCUACAGUGUUGCCUGAAGCUACAAUUCAGAAGCAGUGCGAAGCUAUUCUGAAGAAGCUGAUGACUCAGAAAUUUAGUCAUAUUUUUAAUGUUCCAGUAGAUGUGGAAAAGCUGAAUAUUCCAGAUUAUAAUGAAAUUAUCAAGCACCCGAUGGACCUUGGGACCAUCAAGAAGAAGCUAGAUUCUGGUUCCUACACAAGUCCUUUUGAUUUUGCAGCUGAUGUCAGGCUGACCUUUAACAACGCGAUAACGUAUAAUCCCCGAGGGCAUGCAGUGCAUGAUAUGGCCAUUCAACUGAAUAAAAUGUUUGAGUCCAGAUGGAAAACAGUGGAGAAGAAGUUAGUUUCUGCCGCCACUAAGCCACAUGUUGAGGUUGAUAGGGCUGACUCAAAGAGGAGAAAGACCCCUCCUGUGGACCGCAGUGACCUGUCAAUAGAUUGUGUCAGGCCAACUGAGAUUGUGAAGCUGAAGAUGACAUUUGAGGAGAAAGAAUCCUUCGGAAACUGCUUAGCUUCUUUGUCCGAGGAUCCAGAAUUACCUGGUCACAUCAUUGAUAUGUUACAGCAGUGUAUUGACAACAAUACAGAUCAGCUUGGGGAUGAAGAGAUAGAGAUUGAUAUCCAUGCACUCAGUGAUGACAUACUAUUAGAAUUGAAGAAGCAUGUGGACAAGUACUUGCAAGAGAGAGAUCACCAGCAGACAAAAUCUGAGCCUUCCGAGAAUGAGGCUGUGAAUGUUUCUGGCCUCAGUCAUUCGUCCACAAAUCCCUGCAAAGGUGGUGAGCCUGUUGAGGAGGAUGUGGACAUUUGCGGCAAUGCAUCCCCUAUAUUGAUAGAGAAGGAUCCACAGAUCAGAACAAGCAAAUGUGGUAGUCCAAGUAGUUCCAGCAGUGGCUCGGGAUCUUCAUCCAGUGAUUCUGACUCAGGCAGUGACGCUGAAAGCGAACCAGAAAAAGCUGGUAGCCCAGCAAAGCUUGUGAAGGGUAUUGAAAUACCAGAACAACCUGCAGAGCAAGAAAAGAGUGAUGAUGUUAUUAGCCCUGUUGAUGCUAACAACACUACUGCUGAUGUGGAACUCCGUGAACUGGACAAUGAGUCCAAGGCUGCACCUGAGGACACUGCUGCUGAUGUGGAACUCGGUGAGCAGGACCACGAGUCGAAGGCUGCACCUGAGGGGGAGAAUGCAAAAUCUGACAGGCAAGUCUCCCCGGACAAGCUCUUACGAGCAGCUCUUUUGAGGGGCCGUUAUGCUGAUGUAAUUGUGAAAGCUCGUGGGAUUCUCUGCCAGGGUGGAGAUAAACAGGAAGAGCUGGAGAAACUGCAGAAGGAAGAGAAAGAACGGCUUUUGGCUGAAGGUAAUGCAGCCAUGGAAGCUCGCAGAGCUGAAGCAGAGGCUGAAUCUAAGCGUAAGCGGGACCUUGAGAGGGAAAAGGCUCGUCAGGCCUUGCAGGAGAUGGAGAGAACUGUAGAAAUUAAUGACAGCGUUGAUCCCAAGGACCUAGAAAUGCUUGGUACAGUCACCACAGAACAUAUUGUGAGUUCUGUCGAUGAAACGAGUCCAGAGCAUUCCCAGGAUGGCAUGCCCAGUUUUCUUCCUGGUUCUGGCAGCAUGUUGGAAAAACUUGGACUAUUUAUGAAAGUAGACGAGGAAGAAGAGGAAGAAGAGCCAUGCAGCAAAGAUGCGGAUGAAGGAGAAAUCAACUAAUGUCUGUUGACAUGUUGGAGCCUUCUGGUCAAAGACAGAACAAUCGCCUGUUUCAGCUGGCCGACACACAUGGGGAAAUUGCUGGAUGCAUGCCUUUGGAAGGGAGGCGGGGACAGAGAUCGAGGCCACCAAAAUCCAGCUGCAAAUGAAGAUGGAGUUCAUCUCUAAAAUGCAGUAUUCCUCCCGGAAUCAAGACGUUGCUGCGAGCUGUUGUUGGGUGUAUUAAUCUGAUGGAGGCUUCUGGAAGGUUCCUUCCGACUCGCGCGUGGUCAGAUGUUGGCUCAGUACCACUUCUCACCGACACUUUUGCUGCUGUAAGACGCCCAAAUCCAGCUGCUUUGGUGAUACUGUCUCAAUACAAUCCAGUACGCAUUAUGAGUACUAAAGUAUUGGUUUGUGGUGUCUUGCUUUCUGUGAGUGUGAAGUGCAAGCGGGACAAUAUCUGCCAAAAUUUGUAUGCACGUAUCUACGGUUGUUCAUUUGUAUACACGGAUAGACAGACAGAUAGUGUGUAUUAUACGAUUAUCACCAGGUACUACAUAGUACAGUAUAAUUUAAUGUAUUUUGGCUACGGUUUGGUUUGACUAAUUCGAAUGUAUUGCCUAGAUAUGUAGGAUGGACUGAUCAUCUCUAUUCUACUAAUUUCUAAUAUGUCAGUUCAGAUUGUUUAAAGUGCAUUCUUCCUCCCAAGGCCUUGUUAAGUUGCUAUGGAUUUAGGGCCAAUUCUUUUCUUUUGGGGUUUAUGGCG